Molecule: RNA transcript, 2049 nt
Organism: Arachis ipaensis
Lineage: Eukaryota; Viridiplantae; Streptophyta; Magnoliopsida; Fabales; Fabaceae
Source: RefSeq, a predicted model, not a curated record
UUUGGAUGUGAAUGGAAACCGGAAAGAAAGUGAAAAUAGUGGUGUGGGACCCACAUCCAACUUUUCCUUCCAAAGUUGCGAAGAAAACUAAUGACAACUCUACAAUGAAAGUAAAAUGAUAAAUUUACCCAUGUUGUUAACAUCGAAGAAAAAUUCCUAAUGUAAGCUAUCUGUCUCUGAAACUUGGAGAGACUUCUCUUCUCCACCGCAUCUUCAUCGUUGUGCUCGACAGUGCUACCGCGGCUUCAUUUUCGUUGUCCACAAGCCACGACAGCUUCGUCAUCGUCGUGACAGCUCUUUCUCCUCUUCAUCAUUGCAAAUUCAAGCCAAAUGGUUCGACCUGUGAAAUCUGGAUAUUCCAUACAGUUCGACAACAGAAGGUGCCUGCUGCUGCGUAGUGUUUGGCUUGUGUGUGUUGGUGAUUCCCGUUUGGGUUAGAUAAUGCCGAAUAAGGGAAAUAAAACAGCAGAAGCCAAUCAACCUUUGAAAGAUAAUUUAAGAUGGUCUGAUGAUAUGGAUGAAGUUUUGCUAAAUGUAUUAGCAGAGAAAGCAUCGAAAGGUAAUAGGCACGAUGGCUCGUGGACAACUGAAACAUAUGCCAAUGUUGUGAAGACUUUGAGUAUAGCAAUAGGCCCUCACAUAACAAAGAAUCACAUAAAGAAUAGAAUGAAGAUAUUGAAAAAUCAUUUUGCUGAGACAUAUGACUUAUUUCAUCACUUAAGUGAAUUUGCAUGGAAUUCUGUAACUAGAAAGUUUGAAACUGAAGAGGAAGUGUGACAAGACUUCAUUAAGGUAUCUUAAACUUUGCUUUUAUUACUUAUACUAUUGAUGAAGUUAGUCAAUGAAUAAUUUCAACACUUGUUUAUGUAAGAGAAACCACAAGCAGAAAAAUGAAAAAAAUACAAAUUAAGAAUUAUGAUACUUUGAAGGAGUUGUUCGGAGCUGAUAGAGCUACUGGUAAAGGGGCUGCUACGUCACGAGAAAGGAUUCAAAAAAUUGAUAGAGAUCAUAUUGAUUUGAAUGACUCAUUUGAAAAUAUUGAAUUUUCUGACAUAGAUGUUAAUAUGGGACAUGAUACCCCAACGUUUUCUGCUAAUUUAGAUUCACCAAGUGCUCCUCAUAGUCAACCAAAUCAAUUAGGUGGGACUUCAACGUCAAGAGGAACAAAGCAUAAGUCUCCUAUGAAUGAUUUUUUGGAGGCACAAUAUGAGAAAGUUGCUUUGAGAAUUACUACCAUGGCCGAUGCUGUCAAAGAGGGUACUUAUCUGUCUAGCAAGCUACAUGACGUAGCUCAGAGGCAGGUUGAAUCAGACAAGCUUCAGUGGCUGAGAGGCAAGUUUCAGUUGCUGAAAAGCAAGUCUCGUUAAUUGAAAGACAAGUUGCAAUUACUGAAAAAGGGUUGGCUAUUAUGCAACAAAGUAGGCCUCGCCUUUAUAGCGAAUCAGAUGUAUGGGAUAUGUUGACUGAAUUAGGACUGAUAGGUUCAGCUCGGAUGCAGUGUUAUCAGUUUUUAUGUGAAAAUGAGCAGAAAAAGCGCCAAAUAUUUGGGAUCCCACUUGAAAUGCGAUUGGAUGCUCUUUUUUAUUUCAUGACAGCUGCUGGUGUUCGCUUAGGAGAUAUGGUACUUUCAUAAAACAUUAACCAUUACAAGAAUCAUAACUUGAAAAUGUUUGGGAACAAGAAGUACGCUGCUUAGUACAAGUAAAAAUCGAUCAUGUGUUAAUAUUUUUGACUCAGAUAAACUUUAUUUUUUUGAUAGAUGGGUACAGAUGGCUCAAGCUAUGUAGAAUUGAUUUUUUGGAAGUAGGCGAUGUCGCUGACCAUGAAGAAUUACCGUUUUGAAAAGUGUUGUCUGAUGAUAAAAUAGUACUCUCUAGGAAUUCUUUUGAUUAUUACUUUUUUGGCGUUUUGUUAUAUGUUUAUAAAAAUUGUAUAUGAUUUUUGGUCGCACGUACUUGGAAAGAAAUGCUACUAACUUUUGAUAAUAUUUUAUUUUGUAAAUACAAUUUAGUGAAAUUUUUUUUUAAAUAUGCUUAAGGAGAUUAAUGA